RNAcentral lists this ribosomal RNA (253 nucleotides) under uncultured bacterium. RNAcentral's name for it is "partial 16S ribosomal RNA". It matches the Rfam family "Bacterial small subunit ribosomal RNA", at positions 524 to 776 of the family's 1533-position model. The record is from RNAcentral.
UACGUAGGGGGCAAGCGUUGUCCGGAAUCAUUGGGCGUAAAGAGCGUGUAGGCGGCCCGGUAAGUCCGCUGUGAAAGUCCAGGGCUCAACCCUGGGAUGCCGGUGGAUACUGUCGGGCUCGAGUCCGGAAGAGGAGUGUGGAAUUCCUGGUGUAGCGGUGAAAUGCGGCAGAUAUCAGGAGGAACACCAAUGGCGAAGGCAGCACUCUGGGACGUGACUGACGCUGAGACGCGAAAGCGUGGGAGCAAACAGG